Thamnophis elegans (Western terrestrial garter snake) is the source of this 453-nucleotide long non-coding RNA. RefSeq lists it as uncharacterized. The transcript is spliced from 2 exons. The record is from RefSeq and is a predicted model, not a curated record. NCBI's taxonomy places the organism in Eukaryota, Metazoa, Chordata, Lepidosauria, Squamata, Natricidae.
CUCGAAAAGCGUCUUCGGCUCUGAGGGGGCGGAGCUACCUUGGAAGGAGAAGAUCCCUCCGCCGAAGACUGGCUGAGUCGUCCCACAAUCCCUCCGCCUUGAAGGGGCUAUUUGUGAACAGGGAAAACAGCUUCCUCCAGUCUGGUGGAUUCCUGCACCCAUCAUCCACAGCGGGCACAUCAAAACCCCACCAUUGAUUUAUUCAAAUUGAACAAAUCUUGAACCAUUUUGAAGAAUCCGGCGGGCAAGAAAGCUGGGGACGUUUAAGUGGAUAUCCACGAGCCAUCGAGGGCGCCAGUCGUCUACGUUAGGCAGAAGGAUGAUUCAGCAUCCAUCCAUGUGCUCCUUCUGUCUAAGACCAGUCCUUUUCUUCGUUCUCUUAAAUGGAUUGAAAUGAGAAGGAUUCCCAAGUCGGUCCUUCUAAGAUGCCAAAUAAAUCUAAACUGCUCCAGA